AUUUACAUCUCUUUUCUCUACCAGGCAUAAGACUUCUUCAGUAUUUAGUCUGCAUUCUGGAGAGAAGGCAGAGUGUGUGGCAGACACCAACACCUGCCAGCCUGCAGCUGGGGCACUCACGAGUUCACAAUCUUGACGGCCACAUCAUGACCCCAAUUCUGGUGGUAUGCCUGGAACACUGUGCCGAAUCCGCCUUGACCAAUGACCUUCUGGUUCUUCAAAUCUUCGAUGGGCACCAUGGAGGCUCGGGCACUGUUGAGCC
Long non-coding RNA from Pteropus alecto (black flying fox), 262 nucleotides. RefSeq lists it as uncharacterized. NCBI's taxonomy places the organism in Eukaryota, Metazoa, Chordata, Mammalia, Chiroptera, Pteropodidae. The transcript is spliced from 2 exons. The record is from RefSeq and is a predicted model, not a curated record.